RNAcentral lists this ribosomal RNA (253 nucleotides) under uncultured bacterium. RNAcentral describes it as "partial 16S ribosomal RNA". It matches the Rfam family "Bacterial small subunit ribosomal RNA", at positions 524 to 776 of the family's 1533-position model. The record is from RNAcentral.
UACGUAGGGUGCAAGCGUUAAUCGGAAUUACUGGGCGCAAAGCGUGCGCAGGCGGUGAUGUAAGACAGAUGUGAAAUCCCCGGGCUCAACCUGGGAACUGCAUUUGUGACUGCAUCGCUGGAGUGCGGCAGAGGGGGAUGGAAUUCCGCGUGUAGCAGUGAAAUGCGUAGAUAUGCGGAGGAACACCGAUGGCGAAGGCAAUCCCCUGGGCCUGCACUGACGCUCAUGCACGAAAGCGUGGGGAGCAAACAGG